GACAUGCAAGUCGAACGGGAAUUUCGAAAAGCUUGCUUUUUGGAAUUCUAGUGGCGGACGGGUGCGUAACACGUGAGCAACCUACCCAAAAGAGGGGGAUAGCCCGAGGAAACUCGGAUUAAUACCGCGUAUGGUACGGAAGGGCAUCCUUCCAGUAUUAAAGGUGGGGAUCACUUCGGUGACCUGCCGCUUUUGGGAUGGGCUCGCGGCCUAUCAGCUUGUUGGUGAGGUAAUGGCUCACCAAGGCUACGACGGGUAACUGGUCUGAGAGGACGAUCAGUCACACUGGAACUGAGACACGGUUCAGACACCUGCGGGUGGCAGCAGUCGAGAAUCAUUCGCAAUGGGGGAAACCCUGACGGUGCGACGCCGCGUGGAGGAUGAAGGCCCUAGGGUCGUAAACUCCUGUCAUCAGAGAGUAAGGCUUAUCGGUUAAUAACCGGUAAGAUUGAUAGUAUCUGAAGAGGAAGGGACGGCUAACUUCGUGCCAGCAGCCGCGGUAAUACGAAGGUCCCAAGCGUUGUUCGGAUUUACUGGGCGUAAAGCGUGCGUAGGCGGCGAGGUAAGUCAGAUGUGAAAUCCCGGGGCUCAACCCCGGAACUGCAUCCGAUACUGCCCUGCUAGAGUAAUGGAGGGGCAUCUGGAAUUCAUGGUGUAGCAGUGAAAUGCGUAGAUAUCAUGAGGAACACUAGUGGCGAAGGCGAGAUGCUGGACAUUUACUGACGCUGAGGUACGAAGGCCAGGGUAGCGAAAAGGAUUAGAUACCCUUGUAGUCCUGGCAGUAAACGGUGCUCGCUUGGUGUGGGGAGGUUCGACCCUCUCCGUGCCGGAGCUAACGCGUUAAGCGAGCCGCCUGGGGAGUACGGUCGCAAGACU
RNAcentral lists this ribosomal RNA (876 nucleotides) under uncultured bacterium. Its description in RNAcentral is "bacterial SSU rRNA". It matches the Rfam family "Bacterial small subunit ribosomal RNA", at positions 52 to 895 of the family's 1533-position model. The record is from RNAcentral.